UACGUAGGUGGCAAGCGUUGUCCGGAUUUAUUGGGCUUAAAGGGUGCGUAGGCGGCUUUAUAAGUCAGUGCUGAAAUAUCCCGGCUUAACCGGGAGGGUGGCAUUGAUACUGCAGAGCUUGAGUGAAGUCGAGGUAGGCGGAAUUGACGGUGUAGCGGUGAAAUGCUUAGAUAUCGUCAAGAACACCGAUAGUGAAGACAGCUUACUAGACUUCAACUGACGCUGAGGCACGAAAGUGUGGGGAUCAAACAGG
Molecule: ribosomal RNA, 253 nt
Filed under: uncultured bacterium
Lineage: Bacteria
Description: partial 16S ribosomal RNA
Rfam family: Bacterial small subunit ribosomal RNA
Source: RNAcentral